Molecule: ribosomal RNA, 439 nt
Filed under: uncultured bacterium
Lineage: Bacteria
Description: partial 16S ribosomal RNA
Rfam family: Bacterial small subunit ribosomal RNA
Source: RNAcentral
CUACGGGAUGCAGCAGUGGGGAAUAUUGCACAAUGGACGAAAGUCUGAUGCAGCAACGCCGCGUGGAGGAUGACACAUUUCGGUGCGUAAACUCCUUUUAUAUAGGAAGAUAAUGACGGUACUAUAUGAAUAAGCACCGGCUAACUCCGUGCCAGCAGCCGCGGUAAUACGGAGGGUGCAAGCGUUACUCGGAAUCACUGGGCGUAAAGAGCGUGUAGGCGGGUGUAUAAGUCAGAAGUGAAAUCCAAUAGCUUAACUAUUGAACUGCUUUUGAAACUGUAUACCUAGAAUGUGGGAGAGGUAGAUGGAAUUUCUGGUGUAGGGGUAAAAUCCGUAGAGAUCAGAAGGAAUACCGAUUGCGAAGGCGAUCUACUGGAACAUUAUUGACGCUGAGACGCGAAAGCGUGGGGAGCAAACAGGAUUAGAUACCCUAGUAGUC